RNAcentral lists this ribosomal RNA (253 nucleotides) under uncultured bacterium. RNAcentral describes it as "partial 16S ribosomal RNA". It matches the Rfam family "Bacterial small subunit ribosomal RNA", at positions 524 to 776 of the family's 1533-position model. The record is from RNAcentral.
UACGUAGGUGGCAAGCGUUGUUCGGAAUUAUUGGGCGUAAAGGGCGCGUAGGCGGUCUUGUAAGUCAGCUGUGAAAGCCCGGGGCUCAACCCCGGAGGGUCGGCUGAUACUGCAGGACUGGAGUACGGAAGAGGUAGCUGGAAUUCCCGGUGUAGCGGUGAAAUGCGUAGAUAUGCGGAGGAACACCGAUGGCGAAGGCAAUCCCCUGGGCCUGCACUGACGCUCAUGCACGAAAGCGUGGGGAGCAAACAGG